RNAcentral lists this ribosomal RNA (473 nucleotides) under uncultured bacterium. Its description in RNAcentral is "SSU rRNA". It matches the Rfam family "Bacterial small subunit ribosomal RNA", at positions 26 to 518 of the family's 1533-position model. The record is from RNAcentral.
AGGACGAACGCUGGCGGCGUGCUUAACACAUGCAAGUCGAGCGGAAAGGCCCUUCGGGGUACUCGAGCGGCGAACGGGUGAGUAACACGUGAGCAACCUGCCCCUGGCUCUGGGAUAGCCUUCGGAAACGGGGAUUAAUACCGGAUAUUCACUGCUUCCUGCAUGGGGGGUGGUGGAAAGUUUUUCGGCUGGGGUGGGCUCGCGGCCUAUCAGCUUGUUGGGGGGGUGACGGCCCACCAAGGCGACGACGGGUAGCCGGCCUGAGAGGGCGACCGGCCACACUGGGACUGAGACACGGCCCAGACUCCUACGGGAGGCAGCAGUGGGGAAUAUGCGCAAUGGGCGGAAGCCUGACGCAGCGACGCCGCGUGCGGGAUGAAGGCCUUCGGGUUGUAAACCGCUUUCACCAGGGACGAAGCGAGAGUGACGGUACCUGGGGAAGAAGCGCCGGCUAACUACGUGCCAGCAGCCGC